CCCCCGGUAGCUCAGUUGGAAGAGCGUGAGACUGUAACGGGUUAACAAGUUUAUCUCAAGGCCACUGGUUCGAUCCCGGUCUGGGGGA
Transfer RNA from Pleurotus ostreatus PC15, 88 nucleotides. It matches the Rfam family "tRNA". From Rfam's summary of the family: Transfer RNA (tRNA) molecules are approximately 80 nucleotides in length. The record is from Rfam. NCBI's taxonomy places the organism in Eukaryota, Fungi, Basidiomycota, Agaricomycetes, Agaricales, Pleurotaceae.